UCCCAGCUCGCGCCGCCCGAUCCCAGAGGUCGUCGUCUCUUUCUCCUCAGCUCCACCCACGCCAAGCGCGCGCGCCGGACGCAUCCGCACCAGCAGCAGAGCAGAGAUGGCCGCCCUCGCCGCCUCCUCCACGGCCGCCUUCGCCGCCAAGCCGCGCCUGCCCCGCGCGCGCCUCUCCGUGGCCUGCUCCGCCACCGGCGGCGACGGCAGCAACGGCAGCAGCGUCUCGCUCGCCUCCUCCGUCAAGACCUUCUCCGCCGCGCUGGCGCUGUCCUCCGUCCUCCUCUCCUCCGCCGCCACCUCCCCUCCGCCGGCCGCCGCCGACAUCGCCGGCCUCACCCCGUGCAAGGAGUCCAAGGCGUUCGCCAAGCGCGAGAAGAACUCGAUCAAGAAGCUCACCACCUCGCUCAAUAAGUACGCCCCCGACAGCGCCCCCGCCCUCGCCAUCAACGCCACCAUCGAGAAGACCAAGCGCCGCUUCGAGAACUACGGC
RNAcentral lists this long non-coding RNA (493 nucleotides) under Setaria viridis. RNAcentral describes it as "long non-coding RNA (SVIR_LNC010095)". Lineage: Eukaryota; Viridiplantae; Streptophyta; Magnoliopsida; Poales; Poaceae. The record is from RNAcentral.